CGAGAAUGUGGUCUAAGUUCAUUAACUUGGUGAAGUUUUAAGGGGAUUGCUUUCGGUGGCUUAUAGAUCAAUAUGCCAAAAUAUAAUAAUAAUUAUAGUCAUAGUUUUAUUGUAGAUCAGAAAAGUUCUGCUUCUUGUAUUUUGAAGGAGAUAUGUGGUUUUGUCUGAGCAAUUUGGUUUUAAUUUUCACUUAGGUGCCUAUGAUGCGUUGCAGAAGAAGUACCUGAAGACGCUUAUGUUCUGUAUUUGUGAGGAGACGUCAGGUCCGAUGAUCGACCAGUAUACUCGAGCUCUGCUGGCAAGAUGAUUCUGAUGAGACCUUUGGAUCAAACGCCUGAGGAGGGUAAGCGUGAUGGCGGUUACUCGUUUGUUUUACUUCAAAAUAAAAAGCUGAAGUGGCUGGUUUCUAUGUUUCGGCGCACCAUUUUGAUGAAGCUCCUUUACCAUGAUGAUGUCACGGUUACAUCAUCCAAGAUGCAAUAUUGAGGCUUCAUGAGGACACUACUUCCACGUGAAGCGGCAAUUCUUGUUUCAGAGAGGUGGCACGGACUCCAGUGGCACAUAUGGGACUACUCGAAGACGAGGAAAAGAUAUAGAAAUCAUCUUGCAAUUUCGGGAUCCUAUGUCCGGCUGCGGAUCCGUCCGUCGCUUCUAACUCGAGCAGUCACAUCUGUAAGCUGCAUUGCAGCUUUUGUUUGAUGCUUCGCCAUGGUCGGUAGUCCAAGCAAGAUAUGCAAGAUCUACAUAAAUGAACCUGCGUGUGAAUUACCUUGAAGCACAACACUACAAUAAUUGUUGGGAAGGUCCACAACUAUUCAAUGACCAUUCACGUAACUCACUGCAUGGGUUGAACUGCUGAAUGCGCAGGUAUCAAAACUCCCUUGCUUUUCUUAAUUUAAAAUUUCUUCAGGAAGUACACCUUCAUUAUUCCAUGGCUUAAGACAAACAUCAGAGGACCACAAGAACUUUCACUAAUCUUGUUCCUUCAUCAUUAGAGAUCGUGUAAUGUACUCUGGACCCUGUAAGUACAUUUCAACCCUACCAAAUCAUUGAUCUUUCUCUUUUUAUAAUCCGAUUGCCUUCAGUGUCGUGCGAAGUUUCCACUCUUAUGUCUGGGACUGACAAUCCACCCUAUCAUGAUCAGCGCAGGAUUUGUUUAGUAAAAGCUGGAUGCCCGUGGGUUUUGCUGUCUAUUACCAUCAUCAGAGGUGCAACUAAACUAGUCUAACACACAUCUGGGUGUUGGACCACAGUUUGAGGGUUUAUAUUCAUUGUUUAUCACUUGCCAAAUCUUUGUUUUUUAGAUGAACCAAGACAUUUUACAGUGGUCCAGUUGCUACGACUUGUAGUUUGGAAUACUCCAGGCAAAGAUUCUAGAUGUGCUUUUUCUCUCCUACUUCAUCCUGUCUCGAGUUUAGUUUCAACUGUGUCUGGGGUCUCAGGGUCCACAAGAUAGAAUGAGCUCCAAAUCAGCUGGGAAGAAUGAAGGUUUGUGUAUUUGGAACUUAC
Musa acuminata AAA Group (dessert banana) is the source of this 1509-nucleotide long non-coding RNA. RefSeq lists it as uncharacterized. Lineage: Eukaryota; Viridiplantae; Streptophyta; Magnoliopsida; Zingiberales; Musaceae. The record is from RefSeq and is a predicted model, not a curated record. The transcript is spliced from 6 exons.